Molecule: ribosomal RNA, 429 nt
Filed under: Leptolyngbya sp. LC2
Lineage: Bacteria; Bacillati; Cyanobacteriota; Cyanophyceae; Leptolyngbyales; Leptolyngbyaceae
Description: bacterial SSU rRNA
Rfam family: Bacterial small subunit ribosomal RNA
Source: RNAcentral
ACCAAGGCGACGAUCAGUAGCUGUUCUGAGAGGAUGAUCAGCCACACUGGGACUGAGACACGGCCCCAGACUCCUACGGGAGGCAGCAGUGGGGAAUUUUCCGCAAUGGGGGCAACCCUGACGGAGCAACGCCGCGUGCGGGAGGACGGUUUGUGGACUGUAAACCGCUUUUAAUAGGGAAGAAGUACUGACGGUACCUAUUGAAUCAGCAUCGGCUAACUCCGUGCCAGCAGCCGCGGUAAUACGGAGGAUGCAAGCGUUAUCCGGAAUUAUUGGGCGUAAAGGGUCCGCAGGUGGCUUAUCAAGUUAGCUGUUAAAGGCCGGGGCUUAACUCCGGACGAGCAGUUAAAACUGGUAGGCUAGAGUACGGUAGGGGUAGAGGGAAUUCCUAGUGUAGCGGUGAAAUGCGUAGAUAUUAGGAAGAACACC